RNAcentral lists this ribosomal RNA (1222 nucleotides) under Archipsocus nomas. RNAcentral describes it as "16S ribosomal RNA". The stretch from base 812 to 1153 matches the Rfam family "Archaeal large subunit ribosomal RNA", at positions 2150 to 2716 of the family's 2987-position model. The record is from RNAcentral. Lineage: Eukaryota; Metazoa; Arthropoda; Insecta; Psocodea; Archipsocidae.
UUGAAUAUCUAAUUGUAAGGUUAAUUGUUGUUUUUGUGAAUAAAAUAUUAUUUAUUUAGUAAAGUUAAUUGAAAUUGUUUGAUUUUAUUAUAGUCGAUAAGUAAGGUAAUUGAAGGAAAUAAGCUGACUUAAAAAGAAAUUAAGUUUUUUACCUUUUGUAUCAGGGUCGAAUGAAAAAAAACUGUAUAGUUUAUUCUCGAAUAACUAAGAUUGAUUUAUUUAUUUAGAUUGAUGUGGUAAUAUCAUCUUAAAUGAGUAAAUGGUAAUGAAAUGUUAUUCGUUUAGUUAUGAUUCUAGUUUUUAAGGAAAUCAAUUUAAUUGGAUGUUAGAUUAAGUAGGCUUUAUUUUAAGUUUUUAAUUAUUCUAAACGGAAAUUACAAGGAGUUUAGUUUUUGUAGUUUUUAAAUUAUUUGUUAGUUUAAUUUAUUUUGUUUUAGAAGUGAAAAUAAGAAAUAGUUUUUGAAAAAUAUUAUUGGUUAUUUUUGAUUUAUUGAUGAAUUAAUUUUUUACUUAAAUGUAAUUUAAAUUUGGGAAAAUUAAUAAUUAUUUUUGAAUUAGUAAAUGAGUUAAUUUAAAUCGAAGAACUCGGCAAAUAUAUUUUUCACCUGUUUAACAAAAACAUGUCUUAUUAAUAAAUUUUUAAGUCUAAUCUGCUCACUGAUAUUUGAAGAGCCGCAGUAUUCUGACUGUGCAAAGGUAGCAUAAUCAAUUGCUUAUUAAAUGUAAGCUGGAAUGAAAGAUUGAAUGAGAGAAUUUCUUUUUUGAUUUAAUUGAUUGAAAUUAAAAUUUGAGUGAAAAUUCUCAGGUAUUAUAAAAAGACGAGAAGACCCUAUAAAGUUUUAUUUGUGAGUAAAUUUUAAAUUAUUUAUGGCGAAUUUAAUUGGGGUGAUUUUUUAAAAUAAAUAACUUAAUUUUGUUUAACCAAAAUAUUUGAACUGAGAGAUCUAAUAUUAUUAAAAAUAAGAUUAAAUUACUUUAGGGAUAACAGCGUAAUUUUAAUUAAGAGUUCAUAUUUAUAUUGAAGUUUGCGACCUCGAUGUUGAAUUAAGAUAAACUAGUGGAGUAGAAGCUAUUAGUGUUAGUCUGUUCGACUAUAAAAUCUUACAUGAUUUGAGUUCAGACCGGCGUGAGCCAGGUCAGUUUCUAUCUUUUAUUUGUUUUUAGAAAAGGGUACGAAAGGACAUUUUUUAGUUAUUAAAUGAUUUAUUGUGAAUGCAAUUAA